Pelobates cultripes (western spadefoot toad) is the source of this 222-nucleotide non-coding RNA. NCBI's taxonomy places the organism in Eukaryota, Metazoa, Chordata, Amphibia, Anura, Pelobatidae. The record is from the annotation of a GenBank genome assembly.
CUGGAGAAAGGUAAAGACACACACUCUCAUGAACAGACGCAUACACACUAGCUAACAGACACACACAUUUACUGACAGAGACACACUCAGCGACAGACAUACAUACACUCACUUACAAAACAUACACUUUCACUGACAAACAUACACUCACUAACAGACAUCAGACACACUCAGUAACAGACACACUCAGUAACAGACACACUAACACCCACACACUGUAAC